UACGGGGGAUGCAAGCGUUAUCCGGAAUCAUUGGGCGUAAAGCGCCUGUAGGUUGUUUAAUAAGUCUGUUGUUAAAGACUAGGGCUUAACCCUAGAAAAGCAAUGGAAACUACUAGACUAGAGUAUGGCAGGGGUAGAGGGAAUUUCUAGUGUAGCGGUGAAAUGCGUAGAUAUUAGAAAGAACACUGGUGGCGAAAGCGCUCUACUGGACCAUUACUGACACUCAGAGGCGAAAGCUAGGGUAGCAAAAGGGAUUAGAUACCCCUGUAGUCCUAGCCGUAAACGAUGGAUACUACAUGUUGUGUUAUUUCACAGUAUGGUAGCUAACGCGUUAAGUAUCCCGCCUGGGGAGUACGCUCGCAAGGGUG
This 368-nucleotide ribosomal RNA is filed under the name uncultured phototrophic eukaryote. RNAcentral describes it as "SSU rRNA". It matches the Rfam family "Bacterial small subunit ribosomal RNA", at positions 524 to 896 of the family's 1533-position model. The record is from RNAcentral.